RNAcentral lists this ribosomal RNA (465 nucleotides) under uncultured bacterium. RNAcentral describes it as "partial 16S ribosomal RNA". It matches the Rfam family "Bacterial small subunit ribosomal RNA", at positions 338 to 795 of the family's 1533-position model. The record is from RNAcentral.
CCUACGGGUGGCAGCAGUAGGGAAUCUUCCACAAUGGGCGAAAGCCUGAUGGAGCAACGCCGCGUGGGUGAAGAAGGUCUUCGGAUCGUAAAACCCUGUUGUUAGAGAAGAAAGUGCGUGAGAGUAACUGUUCACGUUUCGACGGUAUCUAACCAGAAAGCCACGGCUAACUACGUGCCAGCAGCCGCGGUAAUACGUAGGUGGCCAGCGUUAUCCGGAUUUAUUGGGCGUAAGGGGAACGCAGGCGGUCUUUUAAGUCUGAUGUGAAAGCCGUCGGCUUAACCGGAGUAGUGCAUUGGAAACGGGGAGACGUGAGUGCAGAAGAGGAGAGUGGAACUCCAUGUGUAGCGGUGAAAUGCGUAGAUAUAUGGAAGAACACCAGUGGCGAAAGCGGCUCUCUGGUCUGUAACUGACGCUGAGGUUCGAAAGCGUGGGUAGCAAACAGGAUUAGAUACCCCUGUAGUC